Molecule: transfer RNA, 74 nt
Filed under: Marmota monax (woodchuck)
Lineage: Eukaryota; Metazoa; Chordata; Mammalia; Rodentia; Sciuridae
Description: tRNA.Ala
Source: RNAcentral
GCUCAAGGUGUAGCUUAAUGGUAAAACAUUUGCCUAGCAUGCAUAAGGCCCUAGGUUCCAUCCCAAGCAUAGCA